AGAACGAACGCUGGCGGCAUGCCUAACACAUGCAAGUCGAACGAGACCUUCGGGUCUAGUGGCGCACGGGUGCGUAACGCGUGGGAACCUGCCUUUAGGUUCGGGAUAACAGUUAGAAAUGACUGCUAAUACCGGAUGAUGUCUUCGGACCAAAGAUUUAUCGCCUUUAGAUGGGCCCGCGUUGGAUUAGCUAGUUGGUGGGGUAAAGGCCUACCAAGGCGACGAUCCAUAGCUGGUCUGAGAGGAUGAUCAGCCACACUGGGACUGAGACACGGCCCAGACUCCUACGGGAGGCAGCAGUGGGGAAUAUUGGACAAUGGGCGAAAGCCUGAUCCAGCAAUGCCGCGUGAGUGAUGAAGGCCUUAGGGUUGUAAAGCUCUUUUACCCGGGAUGAUAAUGACAGUACCGGGAGAAUAAGCUCCGGCUAACUCCGCGCCAGCAGCCGC
RNAcentral lists this ribosomal RNA (446 nucleotides) under uncultured bacterium. RNAcentral describes it as "SSU rRNA". It matches the Rfam family "Bacterial small subunit ribosomal RNA", at positions 26 to 518 of the family's 1533-position model. The record is from RNAcentral.